Molecule: non-coding RNA, 113 nt
Organism: Hydrogenophaga sp. A37
Lineage: Bacteria; Pseudomonadati; Pseudomonadota; Betaproteobacteria; Burkholderiales; Comamonadaceae
Source: Rfam
CGCCCUGCUCCGGGGUGCACAGGCCGCAAGGUCCAGCGCUGAGAUGGUUGAACAACCGAACCCGUGAACUUGAUCUGGCUAGUACCAGCGAAAGAAGAGCGCAGCCCCCAGGG